ACAGAUGAUCAGCUAGGUUUUGGUUUAAAAAAAAAAAAAGAAGCCUAUAAAGUAUAUGAUGAUGUGUAGUGAAGUUGAUGACAACAGCAUGCCUGAAACAAAAAACCAGCGUCUAGAUGUUACUGUCUACCAGCAGGCACACUGUGCAAGGCUCUGCCACAGGAUUCCUCCUCAGGGCCCUAGUCAGCCACAGGUGGCCCCAAGCCACCCAGAGAAGUCCUAGGUGGCUGCCCUCGUUUUUGGUGUUCUUUAAAGCAAAAAUCUUAAAGCUCUUAGACUUUGAAUGAUCUUAAGGGUAACUUUUACAGCUCUUAAAUCUUAAUGUUGGCUGAAUGGAUUCCCAAGGAUAACUUUUACAACUACUCUUCAAAAUGUAUUUUCCUAAUUGGAAGGACACUGCUGUUGUAAUAUUACUGACUGAUUUAAGUAAUAACUUCCUUUAGGCAACCUCAUACCCUCAAUUUAUUCUCUCUGUAGAUUUAGUUGUCUAAUAAAAACAAAGUAUGAAUCCUGGCAUCCAGGAAAUCUCAAAGGAUAGCAAAUCUAAAGACAAGAUUUAUACCAUCAAAACAGAGUAAGUGAUGAAGCUGAUGACUGCAUAGGGCAUAACUGAAUCAAGAAGCAAAAUAAGGUCUGUAGAAUACAACGUUAACAGGGGAAAACAUGCUAUUCUCCCCUCAACUACAGACUUGCUGGACUUUAAUUUUUAACCCACAAGGAGCUUAUUUUAUUAAGUAAAACAUGCCACCUGCCACCCACAAUUUCAAAAGGAAAAUAAAGGGGAAAAUCAUAAGAAUGCAAAAAGUUACACAAAUGGACUAAUAUUUUAGACAAUUAAGCAUGGUUUUAUUCUAAACCCAACACUCAAUUAGUGCUACUGCAUUUAGUUGCUUAGUACCAUUUUUUCGUGGAGGAGGGUGAGAAGGAACAUUUUAUAGAGUUCAAAAAGAGUUUCCUACGAGGCAGAUUGCUGCUAAACCCUACAGACUGAGAUUACACACAGUGACCUGGACAACUUUGCUUAGUUAGCACCAGGGCUGUUUUAAUUUCUUCAUCAGUUUGACACAGCUUUUCUUAGUUAAAAAAAAAAAAAUCAAGACUUUCUUUUCUUCAAAGCACCCAAGAUGAUACAUCAACUGCUGCUGGACACCAGUACUAGGAUAUUUGAGGAAAAUACAAGAAGAGAAAACUCUGGCUGGCAAUUCAACAGAAGUUUUUCAAUGAUGCAAGAAGACUUAAGGACAGAGUGAAUUUAAUACACAUACCGUUUAACUUCUUUUGCCGCCUAUAGCGGACAUAGAAUUUUAACUUUCCUAGUUGAUCUAAGCUCAAGGAAUGCAUGAAGAUUCUACGUAUGUGAAUGUUUACUUCAUGCUGAACUGUGGGCUACAGGAAAUUAUCUACUAAAGAGUAGUUACUUAUAGUCGUAGAUAUUUAUAAACCAAGUGCAGCUAGUGCAGUAUUCAAUUACAGCAUCCACCCUCAUAUUUCAGCGUAUGGGCAAAUUACCAGUGGAGUGUCAAGAAUAAAUUCAUUCUGCCCUACUGGCGCUUUAGAUCCGGUUACACAAUCCCGGGGCAGAACUACCUUCGCCUAGCCCUAGAGCAUCAGGUACUAGGCACUGUACUAAGUUAGAGUCAGGACAUUUUAAAGCGGGAGAGAAACUUAUGGGUCGCCUGAGCCAAUUUAGCCAGCCCAUAAUCCCAGGAAUUUGUCACAUCACUUGAGAUCAGAAUUAAAUUAAGUUUGGAUCUCUUUGAAAUCUCUUAGCGCACAAAGUCAGGCUGCUAUCACUACAAGGGGGGUCCGACACUGGUCCAGAAAAACUUGAUGCGGAUCUCGUGUCUCUUCCUCCCACCGUGAGAGGGCCAAAUCGGUCGGGUCUGGCCACGAAACCGGGCGCGAGUUUGGGGGCUCGGCGGGGCCCGGCGGGGGCGGCGAGCGCGCAUCCCCCCGCCCGCCCAGGCGGCGUCGAGGCGCGAGCAGCUCAGCCAGCCUUGCAGAGGGAGCUCUCGGCACCUCUGGGGUCCCUCUGCUCGCAACUGCAGCAGCGCCGCCUGCGCCACUCGGCGGAGACGGAGACCAGCGGCGUCAACGCGCGGACUGGGAGCGACCGCCGAGCACCCAAGCGGCGGUGGAAACUCGCAGGGCGGCCGGAACUUGCCCUCAAGAGUCUCCAGUGCUCCAAACUCGUUUGCAACUAGAAAAAACAACCACCACCUAAAACAUACUGCUUUUCCUCACAUGCUAUGGAUUUUAGGAAAUUGUUGCCUUCUCCCCUGGAGAAAUAACCUACAAACAAAAAGGAAGUAAAACCACACUGUGCAAUCUGCAAAUCCCAGAAGUCAACAGCUUGCAGACACCCCCCAGGGGCAGAGAGAAAACAAGGGUCACAAGAGACGAGACAGCAUAUGUAAGGACAGCAAGCUGGGGACACAACCGCUUUCAAUGCCACUGACCCAGAAAGUAGGUACCCCUUUUUCUCCAGGCACCUGCUGCACCACCUCACAGGGUGCUUUUCGGUCUAUGGUCUGAAGAACUCUUCUCAAAUGACACAAGAGUGUUGCUUUGAAGAGAUGAGCAAAAAAGGAUCAAAUAUGAAUAAAAAACAUGUAAAGUCCAAAGUCAGGGAAGAAACUCACGUGAAAAGGAAACCCAUGUAACCACCACCCUGAUCAAGUUAUAAACACGUCCAGGGCUGCAGAUGACUUCAUCUCCUCUCUCCGUCACUGAUGCCCCCAGAGCCAACCACUACUCAGAGUUCUGUCACCACUCAACCUAGUUUCUCCUGGUUUAGAACAUCACAUAAAUGGAAUCAUACUGUAUUUCUUCUUUUGUGGCUGGUAUCUUUCAUUCAACAUUAUGUCUGUGAGAUGCAUCCACAUGGUUGUGUACAGCAGUUCAUUCUUUAUUGCUGCGCAGUUUCCAGUUGUACGAACAUGUUAAGGUUUGUCCAAUUGUCCUGUUGAUGGGUAUUCAAAUUGUUUCUAGCUCUUCCCUGUUAUGAAUAAAGUUGCUGAGGACAUUCGAGACAUGCACUAUAGUAGACUUCACGGUCAUUUCUCUUGGGUUUAUACCAAAAAGUGAACUUGCUGGCUUGAUGAUCAGGUGUAGUAGUUAUAUAGGAAGUACUAGUUUCCCAAUUUACCUCUUGUUAGGCUGGAGAAAGGAAAAAGAAGGACAUGCAAACAGAACAGAGAAAUGCCAUAGGGGGAGAACAGACCAGACCCCAAAGUCUG
This is a non-coding RNA of Manis javanica (Malayan pangolin), 3239 nucleotides long. The record is from RefSeq and is a predicted model, not a curated record. Lineage: Eukaryota; Metazoa; Chordata; Mammalia; Pholidota; Manidae.